UACAUGCAAGUCGAGCGAAUGACGAGGAGCUUGCUCCUCUGAUUUAGCGGCGGACGGGUGAGUAACACGUGGGUAAUCUGCCUGUAAGACGGGGAUAACUCCGGGAAACCGGGGCUAAUACCGGAUAACAAGAGAGGAAGCAUUUCUUCUUUUUGAAAGUCGGUUUCGGCUGACACUUACAGAUGAGCCCGCGGCGCAUUAGCUAGUUGGUGAGGUAACGGCUCACCAAGGCGACGAUGCGUAGCCGACCUGAGAGGGUGAUCGGCCACACUGGGACUGAGACACGGCCCAGACUCCUACGGGAGGCAGCAGUAGGGAAUCUUCGGCAAUGGGCGAAAGCCUGACCGAGCAACGCCGCGUGAGCGAUGAAGGCCUUCGGGUCGUAAAGCUCUGUUGUUAGAGAAGAACAAGUACGAGAGUAACUGCUCGUACCUUGACGGUACCUAACCAGAAAGCCACGGCUAACUACGUGCCAGCAGCCGCGGUAAUACGUAGGUGGCAAGCGUUAUCCGGAAUUAUUGGGCGUAAAGCGCGCGCAGGCGGUCUCUUAAGUCUGAUGUGAAAGCCCACGGCUCAACCGUGGAGGGUCAUUGGAAACUGGGAGACUUGAGUGCAGGAGAAGAAAGUGGAAUUCCACGU
RNAcentral lists this ribosomal RNA (639 nucleotides) under Bacillus sp. Schreyahn_Kolonie_Salicornia_8. RNAcentral describes it as "bacterial SSU rRNA". It matches the Rfam family "Bacterial small subunit ribosomal RNA", at positions 52 to 674 of the family's 1533-position model. Lineage: Bacteria; Bacillati; Bacillota; Bacilli; Caryophanales; Bacillaceae. The record is from RNAcentral.